AUCCACACAUAUAGUCAUUUGAUUUUUAAUAACUUAGCACCAAGGUAACUCAAUGAAGGAAACAACAAAUGAUGUUAGAACUACUAUAUAUUUGUGUUUCAAAAAAAACUACUCUCAACCUCUACCUUAAACCAUACACAAAAUAUAAUUCAAGAAUUCAUUCAGGAUACAUCACAGACGCCCAUUUAGCAGAACAAAAUAUGGAUGUCUGAGUACCUGGGUACUCCAUGGCCUCUCAAGUAGUUAAAUAAUUUAUUUUUCUAAUGUAACAACAAAACAUUACAGUUUUAACGUAAUUUGACCAAGCCCCAUGUUUCCUUCUAAGUUUUAAUUUCCAAAGAGGUCAGAACUUUUCAAACAUUUCUACCAUCGACAGAUUUAUAGCUGGCAAUGAAUUCUCCCAAAGGAAAUCAGACAAAAUAAAAUGUUUCCAACAUUGUUCACAUACUGACAACUUAUGUGCUUCCUUGGUGGUAAAAGUACAGGGUCUGAGUCAGAAGGCAGAACCAAGAAUGCUUAUGUCCAAGGGCAGGAGAAGACAGAUGUCCCAGUUCAAACAGGGAGAGUGAAUUUGCCCUUCCUCUGUCUUUUUGUUCUAUUCAGGCCCUCAGUGGAAUGGAUAAUGCCCACCCACAUUGGUGAGAGUGAUCUUCUUUACCAAUUCACAUGCUAUUCUCUUCUGGAAACAUCAUCACAGACAUACCUAGAAAUACUGUUUUGCCAUGUAUCUGGGCAUCUCUUAGCCCAGUCAAGUUGACAUAUAAAAUUAACCAUCAUAUCCAUGUUUAUAAGCAGCAUUAUUCACAAUAGCUAAAAUGUGGAAGUACUGCAAGUGUCUAUUGACAGAUGAAUGGAUAAUCUAAAUGUGGUAUAUACACACAAAGCAUUACGAAAGAAGGAAAUUCUGACACAUGCUACGACAUAGAUGAACCUUGAGUAUAUUACGCUAAGUGAAAUAAGCCAGUCAUGAAAAGACAAAUGCUGUAUGAUUCCACUUAUAUUGGGUACUUAGAGUAGUCAAAAUGAUACAGAAAGUAGAAUGGUGGAUGCCAGAGACUGGAGGAGGUGAGAGUUAUUGUUUAAUGUUUAUACAGUUUCAGUUUACAACAUAAAAUUAAUUCUGGAGGUAGAUGGGAGCAUAUUACACGUUUUCUUUUUGGAGAUGGGAUCUCACUCUGUUGCCCAGGCUGGAGUGCAGUUUUGUGAUCAUAGCUCACUGCAGCCUUAACUGUCUGGGCUCAAGUGAUCCUCCCACCCCAGGCACCAAAGCAGCUAAGACCACAGGUGCACACCACCACGCCUGGCUAAUUAUUAUUAUUUGUAGAGGCCAGGUACUGCUGUGUUGCCCAGGCUGGUGUUGAACCCCUGGGCUCAAGUGAUCAUCCUGCCCUGGCCUCCCAAAGUACUGGGAUUACAGGUGUGUGCCACCACACCUGGCCAGAAUAUUUAAUGCUACUGAACUGUAUAUUUAAACAUGCUUGGGCUGGGCAUGGUGCCUCAUGCCUAUAAUCCCAGCACUUUGGGAAGCCAAGGAGGGUGGAUUGCUUGAGCCCAGGAGUGUGACACCAGCCUGGGCAACAUGGUGAAACCCUGUCUCUACAAAAACAUUAACCGGGCAUGGUGGCACACGCCUGUAGUCCCACCUACUCUGGCGGCUGAGGCGGGAGGAUCACUCGAACCCGGGAGGUGGAUCUCGCCAC
This 1700-nucleotide long non-coding RNA is filed under the name Homo sapiens (human). RNAcentral describes it as "non-protein coding lnc-F8-2:1". Lineage: Eukaryota; Metazoa; Chordata; Mammalia; Primates; Hominidae. The record is from RNAcentral.